AAGGAGUCUAACAUGUCUGCGAGUGUUUGGGUGGUAAACCCGAGCGCAUAAUGAAAGUGAUAGCUGGGAAUCCUGUAAAAGGGAGGCACCGGUACCCCGAGCGGAUCUUCUGUGAUGCAUCGGAGGCAGAGCAUAUAUGUUGGGACCCGAAAGAUGGUGAACUAUGCCUGAAUAGGGUGAAGCCAGAGGAAACUCUGGUGGAGGCUCGUAGCGAUUCUGACGUGCAAAUCGAUCGUCAAAUUUGGGUAUAGGGGCGAAAGACUAAUCGAACCAUCUAGUAGCUGGUUCCUGC
This 292-nucleotide unclassified non-coding RNA is filed under the name uncultured fungus. RNAcentral's name for it is "partial contains 5.8S rRNA, ITS2 and 28S rRNA". It matches the Rfam family "Eukaryotic large subunit ribosomal RNA", at positions 668 to 961 of the family's 3401-position model. The record is from RNAcentral. Lineage: Eukaryota; Fungi.